This 1372-nucleotide ribosomal RNA is filed under the name uncultured bacterium. RNAcentral's name for it is "bacterial SSU rRNA". It matches the Rfam family "Bacterial small subunit ribosomal RNA", at positions 28 to 1381 of the family's 1533-position model. The record is from RNAcentral.
GAUGAACGCUGGCGGCGUGCCUAAUACAUGCAAGUCGAGCGAACGGACGAGAAGCUUGCUUCUCUGAUGUUAGCGGCGGACGGGUGAGUAACACGUGGAUAACCUACCUAUAAGACUGGGAUAACUUCGGGAAACCGUAGCUAAUACCGGAUAAUAUUUUGAACCGCAUGGUUCAAAAGUGAAAGACGGUCUUGCUGUCACUUAUAGAUGGAUCCGCGCUGCAUUAGCUAGUUGGUAAGGUAACGGCUUACCAAGGCAACGAUGCAUAGCCGACCUGAGAGGGUGAUCGGCCACACUGGAACUGAGACACGGUCCAGACUCCUACGGGAGGCAGCAGUAGGGAAUCUUCCGCAAUGGGCGAAAGCCUGACGGAGCAACGCCGCGUGAGUGAAGAAGGUCUUCGGAUCGUAAAACUCUGUUAUUAGGGAAGAACAAAUGUGUAAGUAACUAUGCACGUCUUGACGGUACCUAAUCAGAAAGCCACGGCUAACUACGUGCCAGCAGCCGCGGUAAUACGUAGGUGGCAAGCGUUAUCCGGAAUUAUUGGGCGUAAAGCGCGCGUAGGCGGUUUUUUAAGUCUGAUGUGAAAGCCCACGGCUCAACCGUGGAGGGUCAUUGGAAACUGGAAAACUUGAGUGCAGAAGAGGAAAGUGGAAUUCCAUGUGUAGCGGUGAAAUGCGCAGAGAUAUGGAGGAACACCAGUGGCGAAGGCGACUUUCUGGUCUGUAACUGACGCUGAUGUGCGAAAGCGUGGGGAUCAAACAGGAUUAGAUACCCUGGUAGUCCACGCCGUAAACGAUGAGUGCUAAGUGUUAGGGGGUUUCCGCCCCUUAGUGCUGCAGCUAACGCAUUAAGCACUCCGCCUGGGGAGUACGACCGCAAGGUUGAAACUCAAAGGAAUUGACGGGGACCCGCACAAGCGGUGGAGCAUGUGGUUUAAUUCGAAGCAACGCGAAGAACCUUACCAAAUCUUGACAUCCUCUGACCCCUCUAGAGAUAGAGUUUUCCCCUUCGGGGGACAGAGUGACAGGUGGUGCAUGGUUGUCGUCAGCUCGUGUCGUGAGAUGUUGGGUUAAGUCCCGCAACGAGCGCAACCCUUAAGCUUAGUUGCCAUCAUUAAGUUGGGCACUCUAAGUUGACUGCCGGUGACAAACCGGGGGAAGGUGGGGAUGACGUCAAAUCAUCAUGCCCCUUAUGAUUUGGGCUACACACGUGCUACAAUGAACAAUACAAAGGGUAGCGAAAUCGCGAGGUCAAGCAAAUCCCAUAAAGUUGUUCUCAGUUCGGAUUGUAGUCUGCAACUCGACUACAUGAAGCUGGAAUCGCUAGUAAUCGUAGAUCAGCAUGCUACGGUGAAUACGUUCCCGGGUCU